Molecule: transfer RNA, 77 nt
Filed under: Prosthecobacter fusiformis
Lineage: Bacteria; Pseudomonadati; Verrucomicrobiota; Verrucomicrobiia; Verrucomicrobiales; Verrucomicrobiaceae
Also listed under: 5 other names
Description: tRNA-Arg
Rfam family: tRNA
About the family: Transfer RNA (tRNA) molecules are approximately 80 nucleotides in length. Their secondary structure includes four short double-helical elements and three loops (D, anti-codon, and T loops).
Source: RNAcentral
GCACCCCUAGCUCAACGGAUUAGAGCAUCUGACUACGGAUCAGAAGGUUAGUGGUUCGAAUCCACUGGGGUGCACCA